Molecule: ribosomal RNA, 200 nt
Filed under: uncultured bacterium
Lineage: Bacteria
Description: partial 16S ribosomal RNA
Rfam family: Bacterial small subunit ribosomal RNA
Source: RNAcentral
AGCGAACGCUGGCGGCAGGCCUAACACAUGCAAGUCGAACGAACUCUUCGGAGUUAGUGGCGGACGGGUGAGUAACACGUGGGAACGUGCCUUUUGGUUCGGAAUAACUCAGGGAAACUUGUGCUAAUACCGAAAGUGCCCUUCGGGGGAAAGAUUUAUCGCCAUUAGAGCGGCCCGCGUCUGAUUAGCUAGUUGGUGAG